AGUGAACGCUGGCGGUAGGCCUAACACAUGCAAGUCGAACGGCAGCACAGUAAGAGCUUGCUCUUACGGGUGGCGAGUGGCGGACGGGUGAGGAAUACAUCGGAAUCUACUUUUUCGUGGGGGAUAACGUAGGGAAACUUACGCUAAUACCGCAUACGACCUACGGGUGAAAGCAGGGGAUCUUCGGACCUUGCGCGAUUGAAUGAGCCGAUGUCGGAUUAGCUAGUUGGCGGGGUAAAGGCCCACCAAGGCGACGAUCCGUAGCUGGUCUGAGAGGGUGAUCAGCCACACUGGAACUGAGACACGGUCCAGACUCCUACGGGAGGCAGCAGUGGGGAAUAUUGGACAAUGGGCGCAAGCCUGAUCCAGCCAUACCGCGUGGGUGAAGAAGGCCUUCGGGUUGUAAAGCCCUUUUUUUGGGAAAGAAAAGCAGCAGGUUAAUACCCCGCUGUUCUGACGGUACCCAAAGAAUAAGCACCGGCUAACUUCGUG
RNAcentral lists this ribosomal RNA (492 nucleotides) under uncultured bacterium. Its description in RNAcentral is "partial 16S ribosomal RNA". It matches the Rfam family "Bacterial small subunit ribosomal RNA", at positions 29 to 507 of the family's 1533-position model. The record is from RNAcentral.